GACGAACCGUCCUAACGUUGUUCGGAAUCACUGGGCUUAAAGGGCGCGUAGGCGGUCGGCAAAGUUAGGGGUGAAAUCUUUCGGCUUAACCGGAAAAGUGCCUUUAAAACUAGUCGACUCGAGCGAGAUAGGGGCAACUGGAACUUCCGGUGGAGCGGUGAAAUGCGUUGAUAUCGGAAGGAACGCCGGUGGCGAAGGCGGCCCUCUGGACGGUGACUGACGCUGAGACGCGAAAGCGUGGGGAGCAAACAGG
Molecule: ribosomal RNA, 253 nt
Filed under: uncultured bacterium
Lineage: Bacteria
Description: partial 16S ribosomal RNA
Rfam family: Bacterial small subunit ribosomal RNA
Source: RNAcentral